GGUCAGGAAUAAAAUUGUCUUGAUCUUUUCAAAUAUACAGUAUAAACUGUAAAAAGUAAUACUUUCAAUAUUUUCCACGCUCUCCCUGUUCACACACACACACACACACACACACACUCCACCAAGUGGACUCCAUGAUCAUGUUUCCUCUCCAGCAUGUCAACACUAUUGUGUGCAGCGUGAUAGCGAUCGUAGUCGCUAAUUGUUUGAGGCAAUAUUGGCGGUGCAAUUGAUGGAGAAAGUGACAAACAACGGUGCGCACGCUCGCCACGACACAGGCGCUCUCUCCUCCUUUUCCCCUCUCUUCGGCUGCUGCUCGUUUAUCGACCUCGUUCUUCCCCGGACGCUUAAAAACAUGUGGACGAUGAAUAAUAGGACACAAACCCUGAAACGCAUCAUCGGGAUCAGGAUGCACCUGGCACAGGGCGCACGAGCGGAUGCAGGCCACAGCUGUUUCCUGUGCACGCUUCCUGGUUCGCCUUUCCACAGGCCUGCUGUUUGCGGGUCGUAUUCGUGGACUUGCUAAGGGCGAUGUGCACGGGUGGAUUCCGGGCUUUUCCAGCAUAGGAUACAUCGGCCGUGGCCACAGACUUCCUUCGGCAGCCAGGGGGAUUUCAGCCGGGGAGCUAAUGAGAAGAUCAUGGGCUCAAUCAAUUGUUUCCUUGAUUGAACACACCCUCUACUUUCCUCACCAACACUUGGAGGCAAGCCAGGGACGCUGCACUGAGAGAAUCCACUCACUGGACACUUCAUUAAGUACACUUAUCGAAAUCCGAUAAUGCAAAGAUGCUGCUUACAAGGAAGUUGAAAAGGCAUACUUCAAUAAAGAUUGUGAAUUUUC
Molecule: long non-coding RNA, 841 nt
Organism: Phyllopteryx taeniolatus (common seadragon)
Lineage: Eukaryota; Metazoa; Chordata; Actinopteri; Syngnathiformes; Syngnathidae
Exons: 3
Source: RefSeq, a predicted model, not a curated record